GAUGAACGCUGGCGGCGUGCCUAAUACAUGCAAGUCGAGCGAACAGACGAGGAGCUUGCUCCUCUGCCGUUAGCGGCGGACGGGCGAGUAACACGUGGAUCACCUACCUCUAUGACUGGGAUAACUUCGGGAAACCGGAGCUAAUACCGGAUAAUAUAUUGAACCGCAUGGUUCAAUAGUGAAAGACGGUUUUGCUGUCACUUAUAGAUGGAUCCGCGCCGGAUUAGCUAGUUGGUAAGGUAACGGCUUACCAAGGCAACGAUGCGUAGCCGAGCUGAGAGGGUGAUCGGCCACACUGGAACUGAGACACGGUCCAGACUCCUACGGGAGGCAGCAGUAGGGAAUCUUCCGCAAUGGGCGAAAGCCUGACGCAGCAACGCCGCGUGAGUGAUGAAGGUCUUCGGAUCGUAAAACUCUGUUAUUAGGGAAGAACAGAUGUGGAAGUAACUAUGCACGUCUUGACGGUACCUAAUCAAAAAGCAACGGCUAACUACGUG
RNAcentral lists this ribosomal RNA (497 nucleotides) under uncultured bacterium. Its description in RNAcentral is "partial 16S ribosomal RNA". It matches the Rfam family "Bacterial small subunit ribosomal RNA", at positions 28 to 507 of the family's 1533-position model. The record is from RNAcentral.